AAAAAACCUCGAAGAUAAGAAAUUUUCAAAUCAAAACUAAUAAAAUGUCAAAGAUUACAGGUAAGGGGGUUGGUUACACAGAGGGAAGGUGUUGGCACCCAAAGUGUUCUAGGGAUCCAUUUUUUCUAUGCAAGUGUUUUGGUCAAAAUGAUGUUUGAUAAGAUAUAGAGUGAAGGGAUGAGAAAAGAAUUCAUUAAUUAUAUUUUUGUGUUUAAAAAGACCUUCGGUCUUAU
This 233-nucleotide long non-coding RNA is filed under the name Lathyrus oleraceus (garden pea). Its description in RNAcentral is "Pisum sativum (pea) long non-coding RNA (PSAT_LNC010514)". Lineage: Eukaryota; Viridiplantae; Streptophyta; Magnoliopsida; Fabales; Fabaceae. The record is from RNAcentral.